GGUUCGAUUAUACUAUCAGAACGCUGGCGGGAUGCUUUAAGAUGGCAAGUCAACGGCAGCACGGACUAUGGUCUGGUGGCGAGUGGCGAACGGGUGAGUAAUGUAUCGGAACGUGCCUAGUAGCGGGGGAUAACUACGCGCGCUAAUACCGCAUACGCCCUUCGGGGAAAGCGGGGGGACCUUCGGGCCUCGCACUAUUAGAGCGGCCGAUAUCGGAUUAGCUGUGUUGGUGCACCGGCUCACCAGGGCGACACGAUCCGUAGCUGGUUGAGACGACCAGCCACACACUGGGACUGAGACAGCUCAGACUUUACGGGAGGCAGCAGGGGGGAAUUUUGGACAAUGGGGAAACUCCGAUCCGUUUAUCCCGCGGUGUGCGAUGAAGGCCUUCGGGCUGUAAAGAAUUUUUGGCAGGAAGAAACGACACGACGUGGAUAAUACCUUCGUGCAACUGACGGUACUUGCAGAACAAGCAUCACAACUACGCGCCAGCAGCCGCGGUAAUGUAGGGUGCAAGCGUUAAUCGGAAUUACUGGGCGAAGCGUGCGCAGGCGUUCGAAAGAAAGAUGUGAAAUCCCAGAGCUUAACUUUGAACCGCAUUUUUAACUAAUGAGCUAGGAGUGUGUCAGGAGGGAGGUGGAAUUCAGCAGUGAAAUGCGUAGAUAUGCGGAGGAACACCGAUGGCGAAGGCAGCCUCCUGGGAUAACACUGACGCUCAUGCACGAAAGCGUGGGGAGCAAACAGGAUUAGAUACCCUGGUAGUCCACGCCCUAAACGAUGUCAACUAGCUGCGAAGCCUUCGGGCCUUGGCGUGCCAACGCGUGAAGUUGACCGCCCGGGGGUACGGUCGCAAGAUUAAAAACUCAAAGGAAUUGACGGGGACUCGCACAAGCGGUGGAUGAUGUGGAUUAAUUCGAUGCAACGCGAAAACCUUACCUACCCUUGACAUGUCUGGAAACCUGAAGAGAUUUGGGAGUGCUCGCAAGAGAACCGGAACACAGGUGCUGCAUGGCUGUCGUCAGCUCGUGUCGUGAGAUGUUGGGUUAAGUCCCGCAACGAGCGCAACCCUUGUCAUUAGUUGCUACGAAAGGGCACUCUAAUGAGACUGCCGUAGACAAACCGAGGAAGGUGGGGAUGACGUCAAAGCCCUUGGCGGUCCUUGUGGGUAGGGCUUCACACGCCAUACAAUGGUCGGGACAGAGGGUCGCCAACUCGGCGAGGGAGCUAAUCCCCAGAAACCCGACUGGGGAAGGUCCGAUCGCAGUCUGCAACUCGACUGCGUGAAGUCGGACCGCUAGUAAUUCCAGAUCAGCAUGUCGCGGUGAAUACGUUCCUGGUCUUGUACACACUAGCCCGUCACACCAUGGGAGUGGGUUUUACCAGGAAGUAGUUAGCCUAACCUGUAAGAGGGCGAUUACCACGGUAGGAUUCAUGACUGGGGUGAAGUCGUAACAAGGUAA
RNAcentral lists this ribosomal RNA (1460 nucleotides) under uncultured Bordetella sp. RNAcentral describes it as "partial 16S-23S ribosomal RNA intergenic spacer". It matches the Rfam family "Bacterial small subunit ribosomal RNA". Lineage: Bacteria; Pseudomonadati; Pseudomonadota; Betaproteobacteria; Burkholderiales; Alcaligenaceae. The record is from RNAcentral.